GAGUUUGAUCUUGACUCAGAUUGAACGCUGGCGGCAUGCCUUACACAUGCAAGUCGAACGGCAGCACGGGAGCAAUCCUGGUGGCGAGUGGCGAACGGGUGAGUAAUACAUCGGAACGUGCCCAAUCGUGGGGGAUAACGCAGCGAAAGCUGUGCUAAUACCGCAUACGAUCUACGGAUGAAAGCAGGGGGACCGCAAGGCCUUGCGCGAAUGGAGCGGCCGAUGGCAGAUUAGGUAGUUGGUGGGGUAAAGGGCUCACCAAGCCAACGAUCUGUAGCUGGUCUGAGAGGACGACCAGCCACACCUGGGACUGAGACACGGCCCAGACUCCUACGGGAGGCAGCAGUGGGGAAUUUUGGACAAUGGGCGCAAGCCUGAUCCAGCCAUGCCGCGUGCAGGAUGAAGGCCUUCGGGUU
Molecule: ribosomal RNA, 416 nt
Filed under: uncultured beta proteobacterium
Lineage: Bacteria; Pseudomonadati; Pseudomonadota; Betaproteobacteria
Description: bacterial SSU rRNA
Rfam family: Bacterial small subunit ribosomal RNA
Source: RNAcentral